RNAcentral lists this long non-coding RNA (261 nucleotides) under Linum usitatissimum (flax). RNAcentral's name for it is "long non-coding RNA (LUSI_LNC004604)". Lineage: Eukaryota; Viridiplantae; Streptophyta; Magnoliopsida; Malpighiales; Linaceae. The record is from RNAcentral.
UGACAAGUCGAAAUUGGAAGAAGGGAUCAACGUGGCUGAUGUAAGGAAGCUGAAUGACGGAGUGAGUGCAAGACUAAGAGAUUUCAAUUUUGGUGUGGAAGAAGCACCCAAAAUGGAGUCUCUAGAACUGCAGGAACUUCUAAUUAUCAGGGAGAAAUUGGCAUUUAUGGAGAUUCGAAUUGGAUAUGUACUGAUAGCUAUUUCGUUCAUUAUUUUGUUAUUGAUUGUAAUGUUGUCUCAGAAUCUAUACUAAACGGCAGG